ACUCGGCUUCUGAGCCAGAUCCUGUCAGGACACCUUCUUCAACCUGCCAAGCGGGGACCCACCCAGGAGUUCCUAUUUUUUCCUGAUUUGCUCUGAGAAGAGGCCGAAACACCGGGAGCCCAGCUUCUCCGGAGCUGCCUGCUCACGAGGCUGCACUCCCUCUGGCCUCUGCCACUCCCUCCCGGCUGGGCUGAAACUGCUCUUGUCCAAGUCACCAACAGCCUCUGCGCUGCCUGCCGAGCACAGUGGGUGCCUCGUCCUCUCCCCAUCGUCCUUCACAGUGGUCGCCUCCAUUGUAGGCCGCUCCCUGCUCAGUCAGCUCCUGGCACUGAGCCUCCUGCUUUUCCUCCCACUCUGUGCCUCCUCCACCCAACUCUAAGCAUCAGGGGCUGGUCUCGGCCCCCUUCCUCUCCAUUUGCAAUCUGCCUAGGCCUAGGCCAUCGCUUACCUUAGAUACCAUCCCCAGCACCUUGACUCCCAAAGUCUCUCUCCGGCACAGACUUCCAUUCAGCUCAAGACUCAUACCUGACUGCCUACUUGACCUCACCACUUGAAAGCCUCCAGGACCUUAAAACAGAGCCUCACUGUCCACCCGUCCCAUCAGCAGGCCCACACCACAUGACAGGCCAGCCCCACUGUGACCCACACCACAGAACACCCUUGCACUUUUCACUGCGCCCAAUCUCUCCUCCACCCCAGCCAGAGUGAUUCUGGAAUUUGUACCAUGUUCAUGUAUUUUAUAAUUUCUAAAACAUUAAUUAAAAAUAAAAAAAAACUUGAAAGCAGGGUAUCAAAGAGAUACCUGUACACCCAGGUUUAUAGCAGCGUUAUUUGCAGCAGCCAAAAGAUGGAAUCUGCCAGGGUACAGUGGCUCACACCCAUAAUCCCAGCACUUUGGGAGGCCAAGGCAGGAGGAUCACUUGAGCCCAGGAGUUCAAGACCAGCCUGGGCAACAUGGCAAGG
RNAcentral lists this long non-coding RNA (963 nucleotides) under Homo sapiens (human). RNAcentral's name for it is "non-protein coding lnc-PLEKHG6-3:3". Lineage: Eukaryota; Metazoa; Chordata; Mammalia; Primates; Hominidae. The record is from RNAcentral.